UACGUAGGGGGCAAGCGUUGUCCGGAAUCAUUGGGCGUAAAGAGCGUGUAGGCGGCUUGGUAAGUCCGCUGUGAAAGUCCAGGGCUCAACCCUGGAAUGCCGGUGGAAACUGCCAAGCUCGAGUCCGGAAGAGGCGAGUGGAAUUCCUGGUGUAGCGGUGAAAUGCGCAGAUAUCAGGAGGAACACCAAUGGCGAAGGCAGCUCGCUGGGACGGUACUGACGCUGAGACGCGAAAGCCAGGGGAGCAAACGGG
This 253-nucleotide ribosomal RNA is filed under the name uncultured bacterium. Its description in RNAcentral is "partial 16S ribosomal RNA". It matches the Rfam family "Bacterial small subunit ribosomal RNA", at positions 524 to 776 of the family's 1533-position model. The record is from RNAcentral.